GUGGGUGUCGUCAAGAGGCCUAAGACACAGGAUUGUGAUUCCUGCAUUCGAGGGUUCGAAUCCCUCCAUCCACCCCA
RNAcentral lists this transfer RNA (77 nucleotides) under Clostridiales bacterium. RNAcentral's name for it is "tRNA-His". It matches the Rfam family "tRNA". From Rfam's summary of the family: Transfer RNA (tRNA) molecules are approximately 80 nucleotides in length. Their secondary structure includes four short double-helical elements and three loops (D, anti-codon, and T loops). Lineage: Bacteria; Bacillati; Bacillota; Clostridia; Eubacteriales. The record is from RNAcentral.